This 575-nucleotide ribosomal RNA is filed under the name uncultured marine bacterium. RNAcentral describes it as "bacterial SSU rRNA". It matches the Rfam family "Bacterial small subunit ribosomal RNA", at positions 338 to 916 of the family's 1533-position model. The record is from RNAcentral.
CCUACGGGAGGCAGCAGUGAGGAAUAUUGGACAAUGGAGGCAACUCUGAUCCAGCCAUGCCGCGUGCAGGAAGACUGCCCUAUGGGUUGUAAACUGCUUUUAUACAGGAAGAAACAUCUCUACGUGUAGAGACUUGACGGUACUGUAAGAAUAAGGAUCGGCUAACUCCGUGCCAGCAGCCGCGGUAAUACGGAGGAUCCAAGCGUUAUCCGGAAUCAUUGGGUUUAAAGGGUCCGUAGGUGGAUGAUUAAGUCAGAGGUGAAAGUUUGCAGCUCAACUGUAAAAUUGCCUUUGAUACUGGUUAUCUUGAAUUAUUGUGAAGUAGUUAGAAUAUGUAGUGUAGCGGUGAAAUGCAUAGAUAUUACAUAGAAUACCAAUUGCGAAGGCAGAUUACUAACAAUCAAUUGACACUGAUGGACGAAAGCGUAGGUAGCGAACGGGAUUAGAUACCCCGGUAGUCUACGCCGUAAACGAUGGAUACUAGCUGUUGGACUUCGGUUCAGUGGCUAAGCGAAAGUGAUAAGUAUCCCACCUGGGGAGUACGUUCGCAAGAAUGAAACUCAAGGAAUUGACGG